UUUUUUUUUUUUUUUUUUUUUUUUUUUUUGUUUUGUUUUGUUUUGUUUUUUUUUUCUCUUUGUCUGCAUCAGACUAGUGCUUUUUGAGGUGUUGCCUUAAUAUUUUUCCUGAACUUAAGGACGUGAUACGAUGUUUGCAGGUUAUUGGGGAAUGGAAAGAGGUGGCAAGCACAUGUCGGAGAGGACAUUUGCAGCCUCAAGUGCUUUUUUAUGAGGCGGUAGCAGCAAGAUCUGAGGCUUUGGCACUGACAGUGUGUUAAUGGGUUACUGGAAAAGUUAAUUGAAGUUGAGGAAUUUAUUGAUUCGCGUAGGCAUAUGACUGUAACUCUCAUUUCAAAGGAACAAAUCAUCACUUUGCUGAGCACUUCCCGUCUGUGUUGUGUCAUCAAAAAGGCCACAACGGAUUGUCUUCAGUAGUAUGUAGGCUGAAAUAUGUAGUGUAGAAGUGGUGGAGGUCUUGAUGUAGCUCGACUGUUUUUCCUCUUGCAUCCCAUUCUUGAAAUGUAGCUAGCCUAGAAUAAUGUGCAGAGUGGAGAAGUGGAAACGGUCAACCCGUUGCAUCUUGCUACUGCUCCUUUCAAAGUUCUACUCAGGAGUUUUCUGGAGUUCUGAAGGUUGAUGAACUUCUGACAUAACUCGGCAUGGAGCGCAUUGUAGUCGAUGUAAAAGAUAAGUUUUCGUACUUGGCAAUUGAACCAUUUGAACAGUUACAUCAUGACUCUUAUUAAUAUGCUAUGAUGACUAUGCUUUUACUUUAGACGUUUUUAAGACAGAGAUAAUAGAAAAAAGAUGGUUCUAAAAUUCAAAUUCAAGUAUUCACUAUAUCAUUAUAAAUUCUGAUUAGUUAUUAUAUCAAACUGUGAACGUUUUUUGAUAUGUUAAAUUUCAAUUGCAUUUUCUGUAUUCAAUCAAUUUAUCAUAGAUCAAAUAUUUGUCACAUUGCCUCAUUAAUUUUCAAAUAUACCAAUAUAUGUUGAUUGAAACUUUUAAAAUCACUCUACUGCGUGUAUUGAGACUAGCCAGCUGCAAUGUAGUCCAAAUUUAAGUCAGAUUUCAUCUAGUACUAUGUGCAUGAAUGGUACUCAUUUUAUUAUUAUAUUAUAUUUGUACAUUAUCAAAUUGUAACAUUGUUAUAAAAUAUACAUAAAUAAAAGGAGUAUUGUAAAUUGGUGCUGUUGUAAAUUUCACCAUAGUUUCUGUCAUUGCCACCAUAAUUUUUGCUAUUGCCAUCAUAAUUUUUGUUAUUGCCACCACAAUUUGCUACUCAUUUGGUAUAUGUAUAUAUUAUUUUAAUAUAUUUUUUUGUUUGUAUUUCUAAUGUGUUAUUCUUUUUCUAAAUUAUAUAGAAAGUAAAAUUAUUUUCUAUAAAAAAUAAGUAAAAAUUAAUAUAUAUAUAUAUAUAUAUAUAUAUAUACAUUUACACAUAUUUCAUUAAAAUUUGGGAAAAUAUCAGAUAUGCCCCUAAAAUUUGCUAAAAUAUCAAGAAUACUCCUGUAUUGUUGAUAAUAUCAAAUAUACCUGCCUUUUGUAAUAAUUGCAAAAACGUCCUUUGAAAUGAUAACCUAUCAAUUUCCUGGUUUUUUAGUUUGAACUGGGGCCUAACCGCGACACUUUUCCUCACUUUCUGGGUCUUCCACUAAAUGAAUACCCCCUCCCCCGCUGCCGUCGUAUAUUUUUCGGCAGUGUACUUGAGGAAGGGAGCACAAAGGAGAAUCGUGGAUCCCUGAAACUUCAGCAGACACUAGAAACUGAAUAUCUCACACACAAGAUUGCUAUCGUCGUAAACGCGACGCAGUUCACAAUGAAUUUCGAACUGAUCGGCCAUCUAUGUUGGGAAGUGCCUUCACGAGCUCAAUUGCGUUUGUUUGUACUAUGCGAUGCAGUCAUCAUCCAACAACUCCGUAGUAGGCAGGAUACUACAUUGUUUGCGCCAACUCGAUGCGAGAUAAGUAUCUCGCGGGCCUCACCGUUUCACAACUAGCACGACGACAGCAACGUGAGCUCUAGCAGCGUCGGAGAUUCAGAUCCAGUUGGUGGUCGAUUAGAAUCAGCUAGUGCUUUGUCGUGGAAACGGGCAUCGGAUUUGGACUACAUUGCAGCUGGCUAGUCUCAAUACACGCAGUAGAGUGAUUUUACAACACGACGACGCAAUCGAACCUCCAACACGGUUCAAUUUUUGAUGCAUGGGAGAUAUUGAUCACCUUCUGGAUUCGUUGCCAACUUGUUGGUCUGAUUAGAAAUUGUAGUCGACAUCAGACUUGUGAAUCCAUGAAAACUAUACUCCAUGAAAUUUUGAGCUGGAAUCAAGUGUCAUCUUGUACUUGACAUCUUAUUCUAUGGUCGCCAAGUCCGUGAGCAGCAGCUAUUUGCUGUCUUUGAGCUUAAGUGGGCUUAGGGUAUGUGCCCAUGGUGGCAAACGAAAUCAUCAUCUGCACAAAACCCUUGCAUCUCACUCUCAGAGUCUGAUUUCUUCAAGAGCUUUACUAGAAAAGUGCAUGUGCAACUUAAAUGGCGCUUCAAACUUGCUUAGGGCCUCAACAUGAAUUCUCAGCAUCUUAGAGAGUUCCUGCAGCUUACAACUAGACCCUCUUCCAAAAUCGUGGAAGUUAUUUCUUUGGAUUUGUUCACAUGGAGGUUCCCAAAGCCUCUAUUGUUGAAUCCUUCCAUUAAGAUUCCUUGUUUGAAUCCAUGUCUACAAUGCAAUACUUGUAACCAUAUUACCAGCUCUGCUGAAAGAAUUGGAGGAUGGUUGAAGAUAUCCGUGGCUUUGAAUUAGUGGUUUUGCAAGACUAAUGCUUUUUCAAGGACAUGGAGAACUGGGGAUGUACUCUUAGGAUCAACUUGUGAGCAAGGAGGGUUGUUCUGCCCAUAAUUUAGUCUCACGCUACACAAGUUUUUGCUAUUUCAACUCCUUUACUUUUCUUUUUUGAAAAUUUAAAAAUUCUUUAAAAUCAGGUCUUGGUGUCAAGUAUGUCUGCACAUUUGCCUGGGCAACAUCAUCCCAUAUUGAGUUUUAGGCCCAACUUAUUUUACUUUUACUUUUUAUUACUUUUUCAUUUGGUAGAGAAGGAAAAACAAGGUUAACAAACAUGGGAGCAAGCCUAAUAAUAUGUAGAGCCUUAAAUUGCAAAUGGCAUUGAACUUAUAUACUGUUAGAUCCCAUUUGAUAUAGCAUUUAUGGAAUAGUAGUUUGUUGAAUUUUUUUUCGUAAUUGUAAAAAUCAAAUCAUCUUAAAUUAAAAUUUAUUUUUUAAUAUGUGCUUAAUUAAUUAAAUCAUAUUCAAUAAUUAUGACUUAUUAGGAAUUAUUCAUUAGGAUUUAUGCAAAACGUAAUGACCAAAUAUACUUCAUUUAGUUUACUCACAAAAAAAUCAAAAGAAUCAAAACUAAAAUUAAGUUUAAGGCUAAAGAAUUCAUAAAAUUAUUAACAUCAAAAAGUUCCAAGCAGUUCAAAGAAGUAGGCUAAGUAAACAAAAAAUAAUCUUAUAGUCUUUAUUGAUGUUGGCUUAUUUGAUGUAUAUUUAAUUAAGUUUUUUUAGAAAACUCUAAUUAUUUAUCUAAGUAUAAUUCUAUUUUUAUUUAAUAUUAUAUUUCUCCCUACCCAAGAAUAGUUCCAUCAAUACAUUAAAUUGAUUUCAAGAUAUAUAUUUUUUUUCUAGAUCUUUUUGUUUAUUUAUAUUUCAUAAAAACCACAUUUACUCAUAAAAGCUUUUCUAUAUGAAUUUUUAAGUGUGCUUGUUCCACUUAGAGUUACUUUAAAAAAUCCAUUGUAUUUCUUUAAAUCUAUAUUAUUUAUUAGUAUAUUAUUUUUAGAAAUAACUAUGUAGAUUUGAAUCUUUUUAAAUUUGAGAUUUUUUUUUAGUAAUUUUUCUUUUGUUUCUAAGAUAAUGCUUUCCAAGACUUCCAUACCAUAGAAUAAUUAUUAAUUUUUUAAAAUAAAGAAUACAAUGAAGUUAAACUAUAAAAAUAUAAAAUAUCAUAUCUUCAGAUAGAAACACUAACUAGCAUUGUUAGACUUACAACUAAGAAAGUUUUAUAUUCUUAUUCUUAACUUUGUAUUAAUUUAUCUUAAAUAAUUUUAUGAACAAUUUUUUAAGAACUUUAUUCUUAACAUCUAAUAAAAUUAAGAUUGUAUUCUCAAACAUAUGUUAAGACCAUCAAAAUUAAUGUAAAAAAUAAAAAUAAUAAAAAAUUCAAUGAUUCAAAAAAUAAAAUAGGAAUAUUAUGAAUUAAUUAUAACUUUAUUAACUAAUUUAAACUAUAUAUAUAUAUAUAUAUAUAUAUAUAUAUAUGUAUAUUUUGAAUUGAAGUAUUAUAAAAAGAAAAAUUAUACCUUCAAAUCUAUCCAAGUAUACAAGUAGAAUAUUACUCGUAUCAAAAUUAUAUUUUGCUUUACAUUGUCUAAGCUAUUUAUUUUAAAAUAUAAUGUAUUAUAAUAGAAUAUAAGUUAUUUUUCAUAAAUCUAAUAAAUUAUAUAUUUGGAUUAAAAUAUAUCUAAUACUAAUAUUAAAAAAAAUUAUUAUAUGCAAAACUAUAAUUUAGCCACCUUUACUUUAUUCCAACACUAAUUAAAUAAUUAUCACAUCAAUAUUUUGGCAAUUUGACAACCAAGUAUGUUUAAUAUAGUAUUUUUCUUUAAUACAAUUAUAUAUAAAAAACUUGUGCCAAUAAAGUUAAAUCAUACUAUUUUAUAUCUUAUUUUAAAUAUAUAAAAAUUAAAUAAAAUUUAUUUUCCAUUAGACAUAUAUAUAUAUAUAUAUAUAUAUAUAUAUAUAUAUAUAUAUAUAUAUCUAUAUAUGUAUGCAUAUAUAUAUGCAUAAAUAUAGAAAUUUAAACAUCUAAUUUAAAGUUUAAUGUAAAAAAAUAAAAAAAUACUUUGUAUAGGUAAUUUGUCAUAUGAUUACAUUACUUCAAGUUUUUUUGCUAUACCUAAAAAAAAUUAAUCAAUGUAGCUGCACUUAAUUAAUUUUUUUUUAUUAUACUUAAUAAAAAAAUUAUAUAUUUUUUUAUUGUAAUUCCAAAAUUUAAUAGAAAUUAUUUAAUAAAAAAAUAUAUAAUUUUUUAUUUGACUUUCAAUAUUAUUAUAAUUUGAUUCAAAAUAUAUCUAUUGAAAAAAAAAAUCAAACAUCACAUGAAGUUAUAUGUCAAUGUUGGAACAAAAUUUGUUCCUUAUAAGUUAAGAAAUUAUACCUAAUACUCUUGUAUCAACUACAUCUAAACAUUCUUUUGGCUAUUCCAAUAUCUUCUAUAUAAAUGUAAUGCUUCUUUAGGUGGUUUGAUGGAUAUUAUAUUAAGGGCAAUAGGAUUGAAGCAAGAUCAAUUUCAUUAUUGCUUGGUUUUAUCCAAUACUCAAUAGAUGGUAUUGAGAUGAUGGUUAUUGCAUAGAUUAUUUGUUGGACUUCAAUAAUAUGAAAGUAAGCAAUGUAGUUGGCAAUAGGUUUCUAAAUGAAUAGCAUAAUGCUAAUUGCAUGCACAUAUGGGAUCUAGAUAGCUUAUAUUAUUUACAAGUAUAUGUGUGGUUUUAAAAUCCAAAACAUUACAUGAUUGCUUUGACAAGUAUUCAAAGAUUGUAUUAAAUAAAAGAAUGAUAUGAUACCUAUGUGCAAAUGUCUGUGAUCAUUUGAUCUACAGUUGUGUACUUGUUGACAAUGGUCCAAUAAUUGUGUUAGCCAUGAUAUGUCAUUUAUUGUAUAAUGCUAUGAAUUGGUGGCAAAUUAUUCCUAGUAUUAGAAUUAACGGCAUCUUACAUACUUUUAAGAUCUAAGAGUUUAGAGAUUCAAAGUCCUAUGGCCAAAUCAUUUUUUGUUAAAUUUUGACAAUGCUUAAUAUUCUAGUUUAAUACUAAUGAAGUACUUUGUAGCUUUUUUUAAAUACAAUCUAGACUUUUGAGAGUUUGAUAUUAAAAUCAAAAAUAAUUAAUAUUUAUGAUAUUGUCUAAAGAUAUUAUAUAAGUAUUAGAUUCUUAAAUUGCUAUUGGAAGUUUUUAGUAAAAUGAUACAUAUAGAAUACAUGUUUGUAUGUUAGUGUCAAGGACAUGAAUUGGAAGAAGAUGCAUAAACUUAAAAAAUCUAUAUUAAAAAAAAAUAAAAAAAUAGCAAUAAAAUAGUAUGUAUAUUAAAAAGAAACUGAAAUGGCUAUUGCCAAAAAACAAGGAAAUUAGAGACUCUUAAAUCUAGAUUAGAAGCAAGAAAAGAGUUGAUAAGAGUGAAGAAGGCUUCACUCUUGCUUCUAUAUAUACUAUCUAACUAGGAACUAUGUGGUGAUACUUUAUAGGACCUCUAAUAUGUAUUGACUUUACAAGAUACAUGUCUUAGCUUACAAAGCAAGUUUUUUAUAUAUGAGCCUGAUAGUUAGCUUAUUCUUCAAGCUACCAACAUAUAUGGCAUAUAGCCAACUUGUUGAUCAUGUUUCUAAUCUAAAAAGUCAAUUAUAGAUAUCUAUUAAAGACAUGAACUCCAAAGAAAGAUAAUCUCAAUACACUCUUGUGUCACUCGAAAAUACUUAGAAAUCACUCAAAGGUGAUAAUAUAUUGAACUAGAAUGGCUAUUGCCAAAGACUAGAAAAUAUGAUGACUCUUGAAACUAGACUAGAAAUAAGAAAGAAGUUGAUAAGAGUGAAGAAGGCUUCACUCUUGUCUCUAUAUAUACUAUCUAACUAAGGGCUAUGUGGCAAUGUUCUAUAGGACCUCCAAUAUGUGUUGACUUUUUAGGACACUUGCCUUGACUUACAAGGCAAGUUUUUUUAUGUGUGGGCCACAUAGUUAGCUUGGUCUUCAAACUAACAACAUGUGUGGCACAUGGCCAACUUGUUGACCACGUUUCUAAUCCAAAAAGUCAAUUAAAGAUUCCUAUGAAGUCAAAGUAGUAUCUAUGAAGCUUCUAAGAAGCUUUUAUACCAAAUACUAUAGAAUUAAUUUAUUUUUAUCUACUUUUACUUACUUCUACUUAUUUAUAUAUGUAAUAAUUGACUUACAUGAGUAUGUCUAUGACAUUACCCUUCCUUCUAAGGACAAGUUCCAUGAGGAGCGGUCAUCAUAUGUUGAAGAAAUCUAUGAUGUGACAAAUUAUAUUUGCCACAUACUCUGAUCUUUGUUCUUUUCAAAGAUGAUUGAUAGGGCCUCUCAACCAUCGAUAGUGUCCCAUACUAGAGUGAGAAGACCACCCAGUUAUUUGGUCAUUGUUGAAGCCUUCUUAAUUUCCUUCGAAUAAAAUAUUUGGAAUACCAUUAAGAGUUGUUCCUACCUCUAAUAAAAUCAUCAAACAUCGGGAGUUCCUUCCAAGGUCGUGAUACCAAACGCAUUGUAUCUCGCCAUCUAUUUGAGGAAGAACAUAUCGUUCUUGAAGAUCUUCAUCUCGAUUGCGUUGUCUUGAAGGUUGAGACAAUUGUAAUGUUUCGUUCGACAGAUCAGCAAAUAAAGGCUCUUGAGUAAAAUCCGCUAGUUUUUGGUUCUUCAUCUCUUUAGCAUCACAAUUGCAAGGAAGCUACAAACAAGGAUUGAAAGUAGAAUGUUAUCUUGUCUAGAUCUUGUUUCUUUUAUAAAGAAGAUUUUUAUCUUGGUUUUGAUAGAUAUCGUUGAUGAAAAGACUCCAUCACCUUUUUUGUAUUUACAAGAUUCUUUAUUGGCUCUCAUGUGUGUUCACUAAUAUCAUAUCCGUGCCAAUGGAUAAGAUAUUCUAAUUUAUUUUGGUGCUGCCUUAAAUUUAAGACUUCUUCUACUUCAAAUUCUUCAUUAUUGUCCACUUCUAUAGGAAGAGGUGGAGCUUGUCUUCUUCUUGGUAUGUCCAUUGUCUUGUAUGGUUCAAGAAGAGACAUGUGGAAUACUGGAUAGAAUUUUAUUGACUCCGAUAGAUGUAAACGAUAUACAAUUGGAUUAAUUUGUACAAAAAUAGAAAAUGAUCUAAACCUUCGAUAGUCCAACUUGUCACAAGGACGAGUAGUCUUGAUAUUGCGAUGAAAUAACCAUACCUUAUCGCCCAUGUAGAAUGGUGGUUGUUCCUUUCGAUAGACAUCCACAUUUAUCUUUUGUCAUUCUUGAGCUUCUUUUAAUUACGCCUUUAUUGUUGCAUGUAACUCUGACAACCGAUUUUCCAUAUCUUCUGCCGCAGGAUUAUCAACUUUUGAGAAAAUAAACAUGUGAAGUCAUGGAUGAUAACCAUAAUUGGUAAAGAAAGGUAUUUGUUGCAUAGAAGAAUGCACCGUAUUAUUAUAAGCAAACUCUACCAAUGGCAGAAGAGUUGUCCAAUUAUCUUGUUGAUAGUUGAUGAUACAUCUUAAGUAAUUUCCAAGACUUGAUUUACGUGCUCUGUCUGUUCAUUAGUUUGAGGAUGAAAAACCAAAGAUAGUUUUAUAUCCGCUUGUAAAAUCUUAAAAAGGGUUCUCCAAAAUCUUGAUACAAACUGAGUUCCACUAUAUGAUAUAAUAUCUUUUGGUAAUCCAUGAUAGUGAUAGAUAUUGUCAAUAAAAAGCUUAGCUAUUUCUUCACCCAUGAUGGAUUUUGUAUAUGAUACAAAAUAUGCCAUCUUGGUGAAGCGAUCUACUAUCACAAAUAUAGAGACAUAAGAACGUGAGCUUAAAAGAUCUGUGAUGAAGUCCAUAGAAACAGAAGACCAUGGUUGUUCUGGAAUGGAUAAUGGUUGAAGAAGUCCAAAAGGUCGAUGAUGAGGAGUUUUUGAUCUUGAGCAAACAUUACAUGAUUGUACAAAAUCUUUGACUGCCUUCCACAUUUGAGGCCACCAAAAAUCCUAAAUAUCAGCUCUAUAGUCUUAUUGUAUCCAAAAUGUCUUGCUGCUGAAAAGUCAUGAUGAACUUGAAGAACAUGUAAACGUGCUUCUCCUUCUGGAACAUAUAGGCAUCCUUCGAAAUAGAGUAGGUUGUUUUUGAACUCGAAUUUAGAGGGAUCAUGAGAUUUAGAAGAAUUAUUCUUGAUAUCGUGAACAAGAGGGUCUGAAGACAUACUUAACUAGACUUGCUUAAGAAAAGUUAAAUCAACAGUCAAUGUUGAUUUUAUUGCUUGAAGAUGAAAUUGCUUUGGCUUCAAGAGAAUUGUUCUUUGUUGCUCAAAAGCUGCAUCUCCUUCUUAUGGUACAAGAUAAGAAUAUCUAAACAAGGCAUCGAACAAACCUUAUUGUUUUCUUAGUCGAUAAGUGAUGAUGAACUCGAAUCUUGAUAAAGACAUGCUCCAACGAGCUUGACGAUGAUUUAAUAUGCAUGCUGAUAAGAAAUACUUGAGAUUCUUAUGAUUUGUAUACACGGUGAUUGGACUUGAGGUGCCUUCUAGAUAAUGACGCCAUUCUUGAAAUGAAUCCACAAUUACAAGAAGCUCUUUAUUGUAGAUUUCAGAGUUAAUCUCGACUGCUAAAAAUUUCUUAGAAUGAAAAGUUAUUGGAUGGAGCUUGUCAUUUGCUCCCAUUUAUGACAAAACGGCACCCAAGGUAAAGUCUGAUGCAUCUAUUUCCAUAAAAAAUUCCUCGGAGAAGUCGACGCAAUACAAGAUUGGUGCAGAAGUAAAUUCUUUCUUUAAAGCAUCAAAUGCUACUUCAACUUUUUUAUUCUACUCAAAUUUGUCUUUACAAAUCAAAUGCGUAAGUGGAGCUGCAACUUGAAAAAAGUUCUUAAUGAAGAUUCGAUAGUAAUUUGUAAAGCCCAAAAAACAUUGCACAUCUCGUAUUAUUCUUAGAAUCUUCCAAUCUAUGAUAGUUUGGACCUUCUUGGGAUCCAUCAUCAAGCCUUCGUUGGAAAUGAUGUAUCCUAAAAAGUCAACUUGAGUAAUGUAGAAUAUACACUUUUCCAAUUUGGCAUAUAAUUCCGCAUCUCUUAGUUUUUGUAACACACGACGAACAUGGAGUUCAUGUUCUUCUGUGUUCUUAGAGUAGAUUAGAAUGUCGUUUAAAUAACAAAUGACAAAAUCAUCUAAAAACUAACGAAAAACAUCAUUCAUAAGAUGUUGAAAAGUACUUGGUGCAUUUGUGAGUCCAAAAGACAUGACAUUAUAUUCAAAAUGUCCAUACCUAGUUCAAAAAACAGUCUUCCAUUCAUCUCCUUCUUUGAUGCGGACAACGUUGUAUGCUCCUCGUAGAUCUAUUUUUGUGUAGAUCUUUGCUUGAUUGAGUUGAUUAAAAAGUCCUGAAAUCAAAGGUAAAUGAUACCUGUUUUUGAUAGUGAUCUUGUUAAGGCCCCGUUAGUCUAUGCAUAUCCAUAGAGAUCCAUCUUUUUUCUUCACAAAUAAGAUCAACGCUCCUGUUGGAGAUUUUGAAUGGCGUAUGAAGUUUUUAGCCAAGUUCUUGUCAAUGUACUCCUUUAGUACAGCCAAUUCGUUUUGUGAUAAGCUAUAGAUUGGUCCAAAUGGCGGUUGAGCUCUUUCUUGAAGAUCAAUUGAACAAUCAUAAGGUCUAUGUUCUAGAAGAAUAUCUGCAUUCUUCUUCUCAAAAAUAUCUUGGAAUUCUUGAUAUUGACUAGGAAUACCACUUGAUAUCUUCUUACUAACUGAAAUGGACAUGGCAUAUAUAGCAAAAGAUGACCCUUCUUUGGCUGCAUGCAUGAAAGCUCUUGUCCCUACUAGUAAGCGCUUAGAUGCACUAGACUUAUGUAUUUCUUCUUGAUUAAUAGAAUUUCGAAAUAAAUUACUAAGAAAGUUAAGGUUACGAGAAAUCCAAUCUAUCUGAGGGUUGUACUUUUUAACCAAGAUAGUCCUAAAAUGAUUGGAUUCAAAGGAGAUCGUAUCACAUUAAAUAUUACUAUACUAUUAUGAUCUUUAAUUACUACAUCUAAAAGAAUAGUCUCAUGGAUAACAUCACUAAAAGACAACGAAUGACCAUCUAUGACUUCCACAUGUACGGGUUUGAUUUUCUUGACUAAUGAUAUUUCUUAUUUUUUGACAAAGUCUUUGUCUAUGAAACAAGCUGAGGCUCUUGAAUCUAAUAAUGCAAAGACUUUAUGAUUUUUGGAUCCUAAACAUACAUUUAUUAUAAAACAAGGUGAGGGAUCUGAGGAGAGAAUAGGACCUUGACUAGGUGUUGCACAUGGUUCCAAUCGCACGGUCCCUAUUAUAGCUGGAAGAACUCAUUUUCCAAUACAUUGUCUUCUUUUGCAAUUGUACUCUUCAUUUUGUGAUUGCGUUGCUUCCUUGGAUAAUGUUGAGCAGUGUGUUUAGCUUCUCCGUAAUAUAGACAUAAGCCCUCUUGUUAUCGUCGAGUCUUUUUCUGCUCCGUGAGGUGUUUAAAAUGUAUUGUAUCAAUUUGCAUUGGCUCUGGCCUUGAUGGAAAGAUUUCCAAAAACUUAGAAGGUGUUGCCAUAACUUGAUUUAUUCCUCUCCAGCCAUAUCUUUAUUCUUGAUGUCUUUCAAAUAAAUGAUUAUCACAUGCAAUAGCUUGAGUAAUGAAUUGUUAUAAAGAAUCUGUUUUUGGCAUUGUCAAUAAAAAAUCUUUGAUAUUAUCCUUUAAUCCAUAGCAAAAUUGAUUGAUGAGGGCUUUAUCAUUCCAACCCACAUCACAAGCAAGACUUUGGAAUUGAGCGACAUAUGUGGUGGCUGAACAUGAUCCUUGUCGUAGUGAUACAAGCUUGGUCUCUGCUAUCAUUUCUCGAUCACUUUCUCCAAAUGUAGCCAUAAAUACUUCCAAGAAUGAGUUCAAAUCAUAGAAUAGUCAUGAAUCUUUUUCCAUCAAAGGUGCAAACCAAGAGAGAGCACUUCCACAUAGAAGUGCACCUAUGAAUCUAACUUGAGUAAAUCCAUGAGGGUAUUAGAAAGGAUGCAAUCUUAAGUAGAGUUUAACUUGUUGCAAAAACCCUCGGAAUUUUGAUCUUGGUCCGUCAAACUUUUCAGGCAUACUAAUCCUUGCCUCUUUCAAGCUUGUAGAAGCAAAAUUCCUUGAAUUUGGUUGCGAGGCUAAUCGACUUGUUUCCUUCAACUGCACAACUUCUUGGCGUAGACUCUAAACUUCUUCCAUAGUAGUAGGAAUAGUGCUUCCAUGGUUGGUGUUGGUGAUGCUUGAAAUUUCGAUCCUAAGAGUAUUAACAAGCUCAUGAAGAUCUGCAAUAGUUGCAAAUCUAUUUUUCACUUCCACCAAGUAUAGCAUCCAUGAUUUUUCCUUCCAUAGACAACUCAAAUAAAUUCAAAAGUUAAAUAAGAGGAAGAUAAUCCGCAACCUAUAAAAACAAAUUCCACAAAGAGUGAUAAUCUACUCUCUUUAAGGAAAAGAUCAAUGUUAGAAAACAAGAUUUUUUGUUUAAAGGUAGGUAGUCCACAACCUUCAAAAUACAAUAAUAGAAGUGAGGUAAUCCACUCACUUCAGAAAUAAUAUGUUAGCACUCUUGUCAAACUAUCAAGGACAUAAACUUCAAAGAAAGAUAAUCUCAAUACACUCUUAUGUCACUUGAAAAUACUCAGAAAUCACUCAAAGGUGAUAAUAUAUUAAACUAGAAUGGCUAUUGCCAAAGUCUAGAAAAUAUGACGACUCUUGAAACUAGAUUGGAAAUAAGAAAGGAGUUGAUAAGAGUAAAGAAGGCUUCACUCUUAUCUCUAUAUAUACUAUCUAACUAGAAGCUAUGUGGCGAUGUUCUAUAGGACCUCCAAUAUGUGUUGACUUUUUAGGACACUUGCCUUGACUUACAAGGCAAGUUUUUCUAUGUGUCGGCCACAUAGUUAGCUUAGUCUUCAAACUAACAACAUGUAUGGCACAUGGUCAACUUGUUGAUCACGUUUCUAAUCCAAAAAGUCAAUUAAAGACACCUAUGAAGUCAAAGUAGCAUCUAUAAAGCUUCUAAGAAGCUUUCAUACCAAAUACUAUAGAAUUAAUUUACUUUUAUCUACUUUUACUUACUUCUACUUAUUUAUAUAUGUAAUAACAAGCUUAUAUGAAUAUGUCUGUGAUAAUAUCUAUAAAAUCAAAGCAGCAUCUAUAAAGCUUCUAGGAAGCUUUUAUAGAAGAUAUUAUAGAAUUAACCUACUUUUAUCUUUUUUUAUUUAAUCAUAUAGAUAAUUAUUGGUUUACAUGUGUAUGUCCGUGACAUUAUCCUCCCUUCUAAGGAUGAGUUCAACAAAGAGCAAUCUUCAUAUGUUGAAGAACUCUAAGAUGUGACAAAUUAUAUUUGCCACAUACUCUGAUUUUUAUUUUCUUCAAAGAUAGUUGAUAGGCCCUCUUAGCCAUUGAUAGUGUCCCAUAUCAAGGCAAGAAGACCAUCCUAUUAUUUGGUCAUUGUUGAGGCCUUUGUACCUUCUUUCAAAUAAAAUAUUUGAAACAUCGUUAGGAGUUGUUCUUACUUCUAAUGAAAUCACUAAACAUCGGGAGUCUCUUUUAAUGUCGUGAUACCAAAUACAUUGUAUCUCAUUGUCUAUUCAAGGAAGGACAUGUUAUUCUUAAAAAUCUUCAUCUUGAUUUCAUUGUCUUGAAAGUUGUAACAAUCACAAUGUCUCAUUUGGUAAGUCUGCAAAUGAAAUCUCUUGAGUUGAAUUUGCUAGUUGUUGGUUUUCCAUCUCUUUUAAGUCAAAAAUAUAAAAAAGCUACAAAGAAAAAUAGAAAAUAGAAUGCAAUCUUUCUUGGACCUUGUUUCUUUUAUAGCAAAGACUUAUUAUUUUUCAUCUUGGUUUGAAUAGAUAUCAUCUUUCAUUCAAACUUUAGGCGAAAAACUAAUUAAAUCUUAAAUCUUAAACAAAUCCUAAUAAAAUCCAAAAUCCUAAACCAAAUCCUAAAUCAAAUCCUAAUCAAAUCCUAAAUCCUAAAUCAAAUCCUAAUCAAAUCUUAAAUCCUAAAUCCUAAAUCAAAUCCUAACCAAACCUUAAAUCCUAAAUCAAACCCUAAAUCCUAAACCAAAUCUUAACCAAAUCCUAAUCUUAAAUCAAAUCCUAAUCAAACCUUAAAUCCUAAAUUAAAUCUUAACCAAUCCUAAAUCAAAUCCUAAAUCCUAACCAAAUCCUAAUCAAAUCCUAAAUCCUAAUUAAAUUCUAAAUCCUAAACCAAAUCUUAAUCCUAAAUAAAAUCUCAAUCAAAUAUUAACUCUAAAUCAAAUCCUAAUCAAAUCCUAAUCUUAAAUCAAACCCUAACCAAAUCCUAAUCCUAAAUCAAAUCCUAAUCAAAUUCUAACCAUAAAUCAAACCCUAACCAAAUCCUAAUCCUAAAUCAAACCCUAAUCAAAUCUUAAACCAAAUCCUAGUAAUCCUACAAUAGAUUUACACCUCAAUUACUAAUGAAUGAACCGUUGAUCUUAAUUCAAAAUUUUCAUGCUUUUUAACAAUUAAGUUAAAAACAAGUACAAAAAAAAUUGAAAAGAAUCGGAGUUACCAGAUAGACGAUAGCCUCAAAAAUAUGCUUGGAUAUUGACUGGCCUCCUUCUCUAACCUUAAUGCCAAUCUCCUAGAGCCAAUAUCUCCUUUUUUCACUAUUUGAUUGAUCUCAAAAUUCUCAUAUAUAUAGAAAAAUAAGUCUAAUAUCCUCUCACAUAAAUUUCACUCCAAUCCAACUAGUAGAUUGUAAGAAAUCUUAAAAAUCUUCACUAGACUUAAAAUUCUACUUUGAGACCUUAACCCGCUUAAACCUCAAUAAUCUUUAAUUCAAUCGUUAGAUCAAGCUAAGAUUCACAAUACAUAUUAAGCACAACUAUUACCAUUAAUCUAAAAAAUUUCAUCCAUAGAUCUAUUAUGAAACUCUUGAAAUCACUAGAAACGUCAAUCCUAUUUUGUUUCACAAAAUCCAAGUCAUCUAAAAACAAUCUUGAUUUUGUAAAGCUCUUACAAACUCAUAACAACUCCAAAUCAUCCAAAACCAAUGCUCAUAGAAACCUCAUCUAGUUUGCUAUCAAAGUCCACUCUUUAAUCUGCACAAGAAUCUCCAAGUUGCUGUAGGUGCUUGAUUUUGUGCCUCAAGAUCUGAUUUCAACCCAAGUUGCUAACCGGCCCUCCUUAGGUAUCAAUAUCUAAUUUUUUCAGGUAAUUUUUACUAGAAUUUUCUUUUAACUUCCUCCUAAAGAUAUGUGUAUUAUUUAUUUUUUCAAUCUACCUUAUUAUGCCUUAUUUAUGGCCCUAUAAAGUAAAUAGAAGUCACUUUUGUAAAAAGUCAGUACUACUACUAAAAGUUUUAUUACCUUCCUAUCUUUUAUCUAUAUUUUUCUACUUUAUCUUUUAACUUGGCUCUUUUAUAAUAAGAUCCAUAUUAUCAUCUUUCACCAUACAGUCAUAUUACAAUACAACAACUUGGAAGACAUGAUGGAUCUUCAUUGCCUUUGGUAGAUGUAAUUGAUAAGUAAUAAGAUUGAUUUGUCCACAAAUAGGAAAAGGUUUAAGCUUAUUAUAGUUUAACUUAUAACAAGAAUAAGUAGUCUUGAUAUUAUGAUAAAACAACCAUACCUUUUUACCUACAUUGAACUAUGGUUGUUUCUUUUGAUAGGCAUCUGCAUUGAUCUUUUAUUGUUCUUGAGCUUCCUUUAAUUGCACCUUCAUUGUUGCAUGUAGCUCUAACAAAUAAUUUAUCAAACAUUUUGCUGCAAGAUUAUCAACUUUUGAAAAGCCAAAAAUAUCAAGUCGUGGAUGGUAACCAUAAUUGACAAAAAAAGAUGUUUUUUGUAUACAAGAAUGCAUUGUAUUAUUAUAAGCAAACUGUGCCAAUGGCAAGAGGGUUCUCUAAUUAUCUUGUUGAUAAUUGAUGGUACACCUUAAGUAUUGCUUGAAAACUUGGUUUAUGCGUUCUAUUUGUCCAUCAAUUUGAGGAUGAUAAGCCAAAGAAAGCUUUAUGUUCACCUUUAAAAUCUUAAAAAGAAUUCUCUAAAAUCUUGAUACAAAUUGAGUCCCCCUAUUCAAUAUAAUAUCUUUCAGCAAUCUAUGAUAUCAAUACAUAUUGUCAAGAAAAAGCUUAGUAAUUUCUUUACGUGUCAUAGAUUUUGUGUAUCGUACAAAAUGUGCCAUUUUGAUAAAAUGAUCUACUAUCACAAAUAUAGAAUCAUAUGAUCUUGAGACUAGAAGAUCUAUAAUAAAUUCCAUAGAAAUAGAAGACCAUAGUUGUUUUGGAAUAGAUAAUGGUUGAAGAAGUCUAUAAGGUCGAUACUAAGGAGUUUUUGACCUUCAACAAAUGUCAUACAAUUGAACAAAGUUUUUUAUAGCCUUCCAUAUUUAUAGCCACCAAAAAUCUUUAGAUAUUAAUUUCAGAGUCUUCUUGUAUCCAAAAUGUCAUACUGCUGGAAAGUCGUGAUGUGCUUGAAGAAUACAUAAAUAUGCUUCUUCUUGUGGUACAUAUAGGCAUCCUUCAAAAUAAAGUAGGUUGUUUUUAAAUUCAAAUUUAGAAGUAUCACAAGAUUUAGAAGAAGUAUGCUUGAUAUCAUGAAUAAGAGGAUCAAAGAACAUACUUGACUAAAUUUGAUUGAAAAAAGUUGAAUCAACAAUAAAUGUUGAUUUCACUACUCAAAGAUGAAAUUAUUUUGGCUUCAAUAAAAUUAUCCUUUAUUGAUCAAAAGUUGCAUCUUCUUUUGUAGCUGUAAGAUAAGAAUGUCUAGAAAGGGCAUCAGGUAGACCUUGUUGUUUUCUUAGCCAAUAAGUGAUAUUAAACUCAAAUCUUGACAAGGCAUGCUCCAAUAAGUAUGGCAAUAAUUCAAAAUAUGAAUUGACAUGAUAUACUUGAGAUUCUUGUGAUCCAUAUACACAAUAACUGCAUUAGAUGCAUCUUCUAGAUAAUGAUGUGAUUCUUGAAAAGAAUCAAUAAUUGCAAGAAGCUCUUUGUCAUGGAUCUCAUAGUUAAUCUUGGUUGCUGAAAAUUUCCUAGAAUGAAAAACUAUUAGGUGAAGUUUAUCCUCUAUUCAUAUUUGUGAUAAUACAGCAUCCAAAGCAAAGUUCAAUGUGUAACCUAAGAAGUCAACUUGAAUAAUGUAGAAUAUACACUUUUCUGUUUUGGCAUAGAAUUUUACAUCUUUUAAUUUUUGUAACACAUAACAAAUAUGAAGUUCAUAUUCUUCUAUAUUCUUUGAAUACAUCAAGAUAUCAUCUAAAUAAUAGACAACAAAAUCAUCCAAAAAUUCUCAAAAAACAUCAUUUAUAAGAUGUUGAAAAGUUGGCGGUGUAUUCGUAAGUCCAAAAGGCAUGUUAUUAUAUUCAAAAUAUCUGUACCUGAUUCAAAAUACAGUCUUCUAUUCAUCUUUUUUUUUAUGCAUACCAAAUUAUAUGUUCUUUGUAGAUCUAUUUUUGUAUAGAUCUUAGCUUGAUUCAACUUAUUAACAAGUCUAGAUAUUAAAGAUAGUAGGUACCUGUUCUUGAUGGUGAUCUUGUUGAGUCUUCAAUAAUCAAUACACAUCUGCAAUGAUCCAAUUUUUUUCUUCACAAAUAGAAUUGAGACUCAUGCUAGAGAUUUGAAAUGGCAUAUGAAGUUCUUGACUAGAUUUUCUUCAAUAUACUCCUUGAGUUUGACUAAUUCAAUUUGUGAUAAAUUAUAGAUUGGUCCAAAUGGCAGUUGUGCUUUUUUUUGAAGGUUAAUUGAAAAGUCAUAGGAAUUAUAUUUUGGAAGACUAUCCACAUUCUUUUUCUUGAAUACAUCUUGAAAAUCGUGAUAUUGGCUUAGAAUAUUACUUGAACUCUUUACACGAUUAGAAAUGAAUGUGGCAUAAAUGACACAAAAUGAUCUUUCUUUUGUAGCAUGCAAGAAAGAUCUUGCACCUACAAACAUAAGUUUAAUUGUAUUAGACUUGUGAUUUUUUACUUGAUAAAUUACAUUCUUAAUUAUACUUUUAGAAAAGUCAAGAGUACAAAAAAUCCAAUCUACUUGAGGGUUGUAUUUUUCUAACCAUGAUAAACUUAAAAUAAUUAGAUUAAAAAAAGAUCUAAUGAUAUUAAAUACCACAAAGCUAUUAUGACCAUUAGCUAUUACUUCUAUAUGAAGGGUUUUGUGAGUAACAUCUCCAAAAGACAACGGACGACCAUCUAUGACUUUUAUGUGAAUAAGUUUAGUUUUCUUUACUAAAGAUAUGAUAAGUCUUUUAGCAAAUUCUUUAUCUAAAAAAUACGCUAAGGCUUCUGAAUCUAAUAAGGAAGAGGCUUUGUAAUGUAUAGGUCCUAGAAUAAUAUUUAAUAUAAAAUAAGAAGAGGGUUCUGAGAAGAAAAUAGGACCUUCAUUAGGUAAUGUAUAAGGUUUCAGCUACACUAUUGAACAAACUCGUUUAUUGAUAUAUUAUCUUCUUUGACAUUCAUACUCCUCAUUUUAUAAUUUUAUUGCUUCUUUGAAUAAUGUUGAGAAAUGUAUUUAGAUUCUUCACAAUAUUAGUAGAAUCUUUUUAGAUGGUAAUGAGUCUUUUCUUACUUAGUAAGAGAUUUGAAAUGUAUCACAUCAAUUUACAUAUCCUCUACUUCUAAAUAUAUGUAUUGAAGAGGCAUUGAUAUUGCCAUUGAAUUAUAGUAAUAUUGAAGUCUACUUGUCUGACUUUCAGAUCAAAAUUUAAAAAGUCAAUUGUCACACUUCAUAACAAAAUCAAUUGCUUAACUCAAUGUUUGAAGAUGAGAUAGGUUGAAUAUCAAUUUUUUUACCUCAUAUUAUAAUCUAUAGAAAAAUUGGCUAAUAAAUGCAACAUCAUCCGACUUGAUAUUAGUUGCAAGUUGUCAAAAUUGUGAAGCAUAUAAUAUUAUGAAUUAAUUAUCUUAUCGUAAAAUAUGGAUCUUGUUGGUUGCAACAUGAGUUGCCUCAUGUUUUCUAUACAUGGAUCAAAACUCUACUAAAAAAGCUUCCAAAUUAUCUAAUAUUAGAUCUUGACAUUCAAGAAAAGUUGAAAACUAUGAUAAUAUUGAACUUGAAAGAAGUAUAUCAAUGAAUCUAACUUGUGAUCUUGGAGCUAGAUAGCUUUCGGGUUGAAGUUCAAUCACAGGUUAUACUUGAUUGAUAAAUCUUUGAAACUUGAAUCUUCUGCCAUCAAACUUCUCAAGCAAGGUAAUUCUUGAUUCUCUAGUACCAAAAAGAUGUUCUAGGGUAGAAAAAAGAACAUAAUUAGAUACAAAUGUUGAAGCAACUUCAAUCAUAUCUAUAUCUUUACUUCCUGCUAUUCUUGUUGUUCUUUGUCAUAAUAAACUGAGUUGAUACAUUGCACGCAUUAACUCUCUAAAUUGCCCUUAUAUUUGUACCAUUGUAAUGUUUAUUUCAAUAAUCUUUGCUAUGAUAAUACUUAGAAAAUAAAAUAUCUAAUAUUAUUCAAGAUAAGUAAAGGAUGGGACUUGAAAGCAAAGAAAAUACUAAGAACAAUAUUAGUUUAAAAGAAGGUAAUCUGCAACUUCUAAUACGCUUAUGUCUUAUCAAGAAAAAGAUAUAAUCCAUUCUUAAUUCAGAGAAGACAAAGCUCUAAUAUUAUAAGUGUAUUCUUGUCAAUCUGUUAAGGACAUGAACUUGACGAAGAUGCAUAAACUUGAAAAAUCUCCAUUAAAAAAAAAGUGACAAAAUAACAAUAAAGUAAUAUUUGUAUUAAAAGAAAAUUGGAAUGGCUAUUGCCAAAAGACAAGGAAACUAGAGACUCUUAAAUCUAGACUAGAAGCAAGAAAACAAUUGACAAGAGUGAAGAAGACUUGAGUCUUGCCUCUAUAUAUAUUAUCUAACAAGGAGCUAUGUGGCAAUGCUCUAUAUGACCUCUAAUAUGUGUUGACUUUGCAAGAUACAUGCCUUAGCUUACAAGAUAAGUUUUCUAUGUGUGGGCCUCAUAGUUAGCUUGUUCUUCAAGCUACCAACAUAUGUGGUACAUGGCCAACUUAUUGACUACGUUUCUAAUCUAAAAAAUCAAUUAUAGACACCUAUAAAGUCAAAGCAAUGUCAAUAAAGCUUUUAAGAAGCUUCUAUAGAAGAUAUUAUGGAAUUAACUUAUUUUUACUUACUUUUAUCUAAUCAUAUAGGUAAUUAUUGGUUUAUAAAGGGACAUACAAAGACGAGCUAACUAGAUUAUUAUACAUAUAUGUGUAUAUCCGUGAUAGUUAUAAAUACAAGGUUGACAACAUCAAUGAUACUUUUUUAUUGAUCAAAUAUAAAUGUAAAUUUUAAAAGUUUUUAAUUUAGUAGAUGAUAUGUAAGAAUUUCUAUCUUCAACUUUUACAAGAAUUACAAUCAAUUGUCAUCAUUUUUAGAAUUUAGAAUACUAAAUGCAAUAGAAAAUAGUAUCUCUUCUUUAUCAAUUAUUAUAGUACUUAUAAGUAUCCAAUGGUAUUUUUCAUUUAGAUGGAUAUUAUCUAUACCAAUGACAAGUGAAUAAUAUUAUAAUCCUUAUAAAUUUCUAUUGUACUAAAAAGAAAAAAAUAAAAAAAAGAAAAAAAAAUCAAAGAAUUCAAUUUUUUUCAUUGAUUUUCAAUUAUGAAUAAUUCUUUAAAAAAUUUAUUUUGAUUUGGUAACAAUAUGCUUUCAAGUUGGUAUGAUAAUCUUUAUAAGAACCAAUUAGUUUGGAACCAAUUUUUUUCACUUCCAUGCUUUGUUGUCAAGUAUGAUAUUGUAAUACCUUCAUUAUGUCAAUUAUCUUUUUGGAUAUCCAUAGCCUUGUAUUGUGGUGUGUCUUCCACAUUGUUUUUCAUGUUGCCUACUAUCCAACUCACAUUAGCAUGUUAGUUGUAUAAGUAGUCAGCAUUAAUGUAUGUAUGUUCAAAGACAAAUGUCCAAAUGACAAAUUCACUUGUACAUGAUUGAGAUUGUGAUGCAUAUAGUCUCCAUUUGCAAGUAAUGUUGGAAAUACUCCACAAUGUAUUUUUUUGAAUUGGACUUAAUAAUAGAUGUUUUAUAAUGCCUGUUAAUUGCAUCAUAAAAAAUAGCUUCCUUCAGCUUAUUACUACUACUAAAAACAAUAUCUACAACAAGAACACUUGUCAUUUUGAAGUAUGAUUCUUGUUGGAAAAGUGCCUAAGAAGACAAACUUGUCAAAAAUCCAAAACUUGACAAUUGUCUACAAUGUGCAAGAGUAGGCCAGUUUUCCAAAAAAUACACAAAAGUCAAAGUUUCAAAGGUUUAGUGGCUUCUUUUCAUCACAAGUCAAUGAAAGUCCUUAGCUCAUGGACUCAAAAGCAAUUCUUUGCAUCAAAGACCUGUAGUAUCUCACAUCCUGUUCAAAAAUUUGAUGAAGUUCUGCUUUUAAAACCACUAUUUAAAAUGAUAAAUUCUAUUACUAGGUAAAUUUAUCAUUUUGAAGUAAAUUUUAGUUUACUUUCAGUCAACCUGAAAAUGCAUCAGAGUGAUUGAGUGAGGUGGUUGAUUGAAUAGUGAAUGGUUUUGGUGGUGAGGUUAGUAAUGAAUUUAACUAUUAUGAACCUGCAGCUUUUUUGGCGACUGUUGAAUUGAUCAGAAUGGUGGAAGAAGCACCUAAUUUUGUGGUGUUAGAGUAGAAUCUAGCGAAUUGGAAAAAGUUGAUGAGAGGAGCUAGAGAAUGAGUGAGAAGUCAAAACAAUGAUGAAGCGAAAUGGGGCCUCGUUUUCUAACAAUGAGAACAAUUCUUCUCCACAAUAAUGAGCUCAAUUUGCACAAACUUCUGCGGCACAUUUUUUUCUUGGGCAACUUUCUAUGGAUGUGUAAGCAACCGGAACUGACAGUGAGCGGAAUCAUUAGAUCCAAUUGUUCACCACUUGGGCCUCUAAAGACAAAGUAAACACAAACCUCUGCAUUCUCCGUCAGAAUGAGACACAAAAUGCGGACUUGAACAUGACAUAGAGACUCAGAAAGUUAUUUAAGCAUGUGCAAAACGGUGUCGAGUAAGAAACGGUGAACCACACUAAUGAAUACAUGUCAGCACAGCUACAACACAUCGGCUGCUAUUACUCUGGCCGUGAGGAUUGGUGUAACGGGGAGUUUAGCGCUACCUGCAAGGAUGUGGUGCUACGACACGGAGGUCAAGUGUUGGGUGUGAGAGCUUCUACUAAUGAGGUCGUGAUGCAGACGGUGAACGAGGUGGUAUUCAAGUCUUUUAGUGAGGUGCAAGAUCAGCUUCUAAAGGUCACUACGUUGCCGCAAUUCGAGUCGCUGGCUUGUCAGCGGUUUGCGUCUUCUUGUGAGGCUGCCAUCAAUGACCACAUCAAUGAACCACACUAAUGAAUACAUGUCGGCGCAGCUAGAUGGGUAUUCAAAAAUGGUACUUGCCGCAGUCAUCCUGGUCUCAGCCCUUGAGUGUGGUCACGAUCGCAACUCUCUGCAAUUGGUUUUGAAUUUCAUACUACAGGCGCAUAACUGUAAAAAUUCAUAUCGCAUCCUUGUAACUAUGAAUCUUCUGCAACCUAACAGAGAGUUCAGCUUGUAGAGUUCAACAAUAAGUAGUUUUGAGAGAGUCACUUGAGAUGGGAAAUUAUUAGAAACCAAUAAAAGAAUUACACUGUGGCUGCACACCAAGUUUCCUGCACAAUACUUGUCAACUGCGAGUGGACCUGUGGAAGUAAUCUACGCAGUUAGUAAAUUCAUUCUGGUCAAGAGGGAUUUGCAGCACCAAUAGUAGCAACCAUGGGUCACGUUCAUUUCAGUCAUUUUUGGAAUCUUAGGUAAUGCUCAAACCUUGAACCCUUGGAGACGCGAAGCAUGAGUGGGUCAUGAAGCUGGACAUGGAAUGAGUGAGCUGGUCAGAGGAGCCAUAAUCGUGCACUGGAAGUGAUGGAAAGUGGAGACUGAGCAGUGAAACAUGUAGAACAAACAUGGUUUUGAGAAUUUGCACUCACUCAAAAACAUAAAACGCAAGAAGAAACCGAAGUGCCUGCCGAGAUUUCUGCGACUACAGCGACGGUGGGGGCGUCCGGUUCGUGCGGGGACUAGAAAGCAAGGAAAAGUGACACUCGGGGCCCAGCUACAACUAAAAAGAAUUGGAAAUUGAUAAGUUAUCACUUCAGAGGGUAUUUUUGCAUUAUCAAAAUAAUAAGUGUAAUAUUAAAAAUAAAUAGGGGUAGAUUUGAUAUUAUCAAGAAUACAGGGUUAUUCUUGACAUCCUGCAAAAUUCAGGGUCAUAUGUGAUAUUUUUCUUUUUUUUAAUAUCACACUUAUUAUUUUUUAGUUCUAUUUAUUUUUAUAAAAUAUUAUAUAAUUUUUUUAGAUUCUUUACGAUACAAAUUAAUUUUUCGUUGCCUAUUUUUAUUCAUUUAUUCAUUAAUAUUUUAUAUACUAAAAUUUAAAAUAUUAUAGUAUUAGUUCUUAUAUUGAUUUUUUAAAAAUUAUACAUGAUAAUCAACAACAAUAUUUGUUUGUAGAAUUGCAUAUGUUUUGAGAUACGAUUGCAUUUAUGACAAUAUAUAUAUAUACGUAUGUGACUAAAAAAUUCAUUCUUUUGUUUGAUAUUAAAGCCAAUUUUUUCAAUUAAUAUUUAUAAAAUUUAUAUAUAUAUAUAUAUAUAUAUAUAUAUAUAUAUAUAUGUUCCAAUUUUAUUGAAUUAUUAAUUAUUAGUUAAUUUGAUAUUUACAUACAUAGAAUUAAAUAGAAUUAUUAGAAUAUAAAUAAAAAUAUAUAGAAAUACAUUUGGUGUCAAAAAUAAAUUUUUGAUUUAUGUAUAAUAAAUGCAUCAAGGUUGUUUAAAAGGAUUUUGGUGUUUGAAAAUUUAUAAGAACAUAGAAAAAAAAAUCAAAUUAAUAUCUUUUCAUUCUUCAACUUAAUUUCAUAAAAAAAAUAUAAUUGUAUCUGAAUGUUUAUCUAUAAAAAUUAUUUUCUAAAAUUUUUUUAAUGAUAUAAAAUAAAAAAUAAAAAGUAUAUAAUUUAAUAAAAAGUAAUAAUUGUAAUAAUAAUAAUUAAUAUUUUUUAGAUUUAAAUAAUUUUUUGACCAAUCACUUUUUUGUUCCUUUACUUAAAAAGCAAAAUUGAUGCAUAAAAAAUAAUGUCUUUAUUUAUUCUUCUAUUUGUGCUAUGACAUUCUUUAUUUUAUAUAUAUAUAUAUAUAUAUAUACACAUAGAUAUAGAUAUACAUGAGAUAUUUAAUUGCCUAAAAAAUAUUUAUGCAAGCAAUAGAAAUCUAAAGCAAAUAAAAAUAUAAAACUAUUGAAAAAAUAAUAUCAAUAGAAGAGAAGAUAAUUUGUAGCCUUUAAAUCAUUUUAGUAUUUUCAAUAGAAAUGAAUACUAUAUUUAUUUAUCAAAUAAGAAUAAACUCCAAUAUCAUACAUGUUAAUCUUAUGAAGUUGUUUGAGAUAUGAAUUUAAAAAUAAUAAUUAUAUAUAUAUAUAUAUAUAUAGACAUGUUAUCAUACAACUAAAAUAGAAAAAAUAAUUUAAGUUGUAUAUAAUUUUAAAAUGACAAAGUACUAGAAUGAUUAUUCUAAGUAUAUAGAAACUAAAGCAUCUUGAAUAAACACUAGAAUACAAAAAAGAAUAUUGACAAGAUUGAGAAUAGAAUUAAUUUUUCAUCUAUAUAUACUAGCUAAGAAUAAUGUUAUAUAUUAUUUUACAUAAAAAAGCUACAAGGCUUUAAUGCUAAGUAUUAAGUUAUUUCGCACUUUUAUAAUAAUUUUACAAAUUAAAAAAAAAAAAAAAAAAAAAAAACUCUAAAUAAUGUUUAUAUUAUUAUAUGGCAUAUCUAAAAAAGAAUCUAUAGAUUCCACUUACAUCUAGGAAACUUCUUGAAUAUUAUCAUUCUAAUGUAUAUUUACUUAUUUAUAUGAAACUUAUAAUUUAUGUUUAUUUAAAUAAUGUAGAGAUUUAAAAAAAUUAUAUAAGGUUGUCUUAUACGUAAAAUUUGUAGUUAUUUUAAAUCUUGAUUUAAUUAUUGGACAUUAGUUGAUACAUAAAAUUUAGUUGUAAUAUUGUAUCUUAAAUAAAGAAUUCUUUUUUUUGGCACAUAUUAAAAAUAUCUUUUAAAUAAUUAUUUUUUAUUCAACAGAUUUUUCCAUAAUUUGAUUUUUGAUCCCAAGUAAUUUAGUAGAAUAAUAAUCUAUAUUUUAUAGAGUAUAAUAAAUAAAUAAAAAAGACAAAGUUUUUUGGAAAAAAAAAAUCCUUUGUUAAUUUAGAUUUGAGAGAAAAAAAAUAAAAAGUUAAUAUGCAUUAACAUGUUUAAUCUUAAUAUUAAUGUGAGAGAAGAUACAAGUUAGUAAUAAAUCUAUUCUCAUAAAGUUGAGAUAUAAGGCAAUUGUGGCUUGUAUUGAUUAUUUUGAAGAAAUAGAUCUUUCAUAAUUUUUAUUGUGCCUUUAGUUUAAGCAAAUUUAAAAUCAAGUAAUUCUAAUCUUAUAACAAUUAUCCUUUUGUAGACCACGUCUUAAUCUUUGAGUAGAAAUUAAAUUAUUUGAAGAGUUUUUUUAACCAAUUCAAAAUAUAUUAAGAAAAUUAAUGGUCACAUCAAUGCAAUGGUUACAAAAAAAUAACAUAAUUUUUAAUAGUAUAGUUUGAUUCAAUUAAACAGUGAUGAUUGUAAUAUACCAAUGUAUGAUAAAAUGUAUCCAAAUGAUUUUGAUUAUAGUUGUGGCUAAAUCAAGUAAAAUAUCUAUAAAUAGAAAGAAUUUUUAAAUAGUUAAAAAAACACAUGGAUAAUUAGCUACUGGGAUAGCACAAAAAAAUUAAAAUAACGAUCUCAAACAAAAGUUCCAUCAUUUUCAACUCCCACCAAAAGUUGUGAAUAAAAUCACCAACACAAAGCACUAAAAGUGGUCAAAGACUAUAACAUUUCCCGGACAUACUUUCCACCAAAAAUGUUGUGGAGGAAAAUAUUACGAACACUAUAUUCCGCAAGAGACUGGAAUCCACAUAAGACUGAAAAGUUUAAAAAAAAAAUAAAAAAAAAAGGAAACAGGAAAAAAUCGUCUAAAAUAGCUUGGAAUGCAAAUUUCAAUUUUACCACUUUUAGUACUCAACAUGGGUAGAUGAACUCAUGUCAUCUACCCAUCUUCGCAAUAAAAAAAAUCAGAUUUUAACUUUAAGCUAUUCUUAAUAUUGCGAGGUUCCUUGUACCGGAUCGAUACUCCUACAACGAAACUCCGUGUCGGGGAAGCAUGAAUGGCCGCACAAUCAAUGCCUUGUGUUGUAUGAUUUGUGGUUUCUCAAGCAACGGCCUCGAAACCAUCUAACGUUAGAUCUACCUUUCGAGCUGCUCCGAAGGUGAACCCCACUCUCAAAAUCCUGCCAAAUAUAUACCAAAAAAUGGUUUCGCUCAGAUCAUGCCGAGUGCAAAUGGGUUCCGUGCUUGUGCAAUAGUUCGUUGUACGCAAGCCGUACGAGAUAGUCUCGGAGCUUGUCCGCAGUGCAAUUGCUUGGCCUGCCUGAUACCAUUCGAUUCCAUCGCUGUGUUUUCUCAGCCAGCCUCGCCGCAUCUGUCGCCGAGUCCCUAGGGAUAGUGCUAGUUCAGUCCUCGUCGUAGGGUUAUCCACAUACACGUGUUCAACGACGCUGGAUACUGGUUCAGCUUUGUCAGGCAUCGGAUGUUGGUUAAAGAGUGUGAUGGUUCCAGCGGGGUGGUGAGUGAAGAUCUGGACAUUUGGAAUGCGACUUGUAUGCCAUGCAGUAAUAUAAAAACAGACAUGGUGUCUCGGUGGGCUUUGAAUAGUCUGCACGUCGUGUGGUCGCUUCGUAAACGGGCACACACGUAUCCAUGUGAAUGUUGCAGUUCACGCUUCCACGCACCAGGUGAGAUGGGAGUUUGUUUAUAAUGUCGUAGGCCCAGUAUGCGGAUGCUCAGUAUCGCUUCGAUCGAAAGUGCAAGUGACGGUUUUGCAGGUUCAGAGACAAAUGUGCAGUGUUUUUCAAUAAGACUGUUCCGUCACUUGUCUCCUUUGUUUUUCUGGGUGCUGACAGUGCCGUGUUUUUAUAAAAUCAGUGCCUUCUAGGUGAGAUAGAAGUUCGAAGGUAAGUUCUGAUGAAGAAUGGUUCUCCUGCUUCGGAGGUGUGAAGAGUUGGAGGCAUAGAGUUGAAUGUCAAAGAGCACUGGAGUUCCGUCACUUGUCUCCGUUGUGGUUCAAGUACCUCUGGUGUUGCAAGUAGAAAGAGUAUGUGUUGGAGUGGUUAGAAAAAUGCUUGUUUUUGCAGAGGCGGGGUUAUGUUCAAAUUAGGAGGGGUUUUUUCAGUAUCUGCAAGGAAUCUAGUAGCAUGGAAACACGAGCGUCGUUGUCGGUGAGGAAGAGUUGUUGCAAAUGAUAUUGGAGGGAAGUUCUUGUCGGAGUGUGAUUGUGCGAUCAUCACUGGCCACAAGAGAAAAUCUACUGUUUUUAUUGAUACUACCGUCGAAAAUAUGAAUGUGAUUUAUAAUCUCGCAGAUAGAAUCGGCGAACCACUUUGCUUUCUCGGAGUUCUUGGGUUUCUCUUCGUCAAGUACAUUACCAGUCAAUGAAAUCCGUCUAUAACUUGUGAAUGUCAAAAACCUCGUGCCAGUAUCCACAGGAUGAGUUCUUCAUUUCGUCGAUUAGUGCUGCUUCUGGACGGCACAUGGCAAGAACAGGUCAAUCGCACCAACGUUGCAAUUCUGUUCGAGAAUGUUGAUCAAGAUGCGAAUGGAGAUGGAGUUGAGCAGAUAGUCAAGUACUUUGAAGGCGUUGGAACGUCGUGGGGAGAUAGGCUUCUUGCCGGAGCAUUCGGAUACGGGUUAUCCGAGGUCAUCAAAGAUGCUUACUUAUGGCUGUCACAAACCUACAAACCAGGAGAUGAGGUUUUUGUGUUCGGAUUCAGCCGGGGGGCUUACACAGCGCGAAGUCUCGUAGGGCUCAUGAACAAAAUUGGUGGUGUGUUGAAGCAGCCGACGAAGGCCCUCGUGGAGCAGGCUUAUGAUCUCUAUCGAGAUUCUAAGAGUGAUGCUACCGAGUUUAAAGCCCAGCACAGUCAGGAAGCACGAGUCAAGCUCAUUGGAGUCUGGGAAACGGUGGGGGCUCUCGGUAUUCCAUCAUUGGGGCUCCCCUUGACGUUGCCCGGCACCCCAGAUUACUACCGCUUCCAUGAUACCAACCUCUCGUGCAUCGUGGACUACGCGUACCAUGCAAUUGCGAUCGAUGAGUACAGAGCAGAUUUUGACGCUACUCUGUGGGAUGCAACGACAGAGAAGAACAAGGAUGUUGAGCAAUGUUGGUUUAUCGGAGAUCAUGGCAACAUAGGAGGCGGUGGUACGAGCAACAUACUCUCGAUUCUCCCGUAUGUCUGGAUGCAAGACAAAGCCGUAGCCGUCGGUCUCCGCAUGAAGACUAUGUUGAAGGCAGGGGAGCAAUGGCGCCAGGCUCCCAAUGAUUCCUUCGGUUCAUUCUUGUUCGGAAUGUAUAGGAUAUAUCGUUUGGGUCAACCAAACAACCGAGAAAUUGGCAAGAAGGUGGAGGAAUCGCUGCACCCUAGUGUCUUGCUACGCCUCCAAAACUACCCUGAGUAUCAACCCAAGCCUCUGACGAAUGUAGGAGUUCCGGAUAGAACCAACGAGAUUCCUCGCAACAAAAAUGUGAAGAGGUGCGACGGCAGCAAAGAAGGUGUCGCUGCCUCCUAGCUGCUACGAAUGAGCCAGAUUCUGUCGAAAUUGCUUUUCCCUACUUACAAUCGUGGUUUGCCUACUUGGAAUGCCAUGGUUACGGAGGGAGGUCUGGUGAUCCAACACUUUGUUCGAUCAGUUUUUAUAGUUUGCUUGGUAUUGAACGUUCUUUGUUGAUGCGCCUUCUAGCACAGUAAAGCCUUGCUAAAUCAGAAUUUGAUGAGAGUCUAUGUACCAAGGGAAUCGUGAUUGGCCUCUGCUUUCCUCUUUGAAUUGGUUCUUGAUUUCAUUCCUGUAGUUCGGAGAGGUAUACAUUUAGUAGAUAAGCGGUACGUUACAAUAUACAUAACAAUCUGUACAAUGAUUUCGCCAUAAAAAAAGAGUAUUUCUCAUUCAAAGAGUAAAACACCUAAUGUUGUGGGUGAUAAUGGCGACGAGAGUCUUCGAUCAAAACACUGAUAUGGCGCGAUCCACGAUUUUACGACGACCAUCAGAUUUGCAGAUGCUAAAUAGUUGACUACUUUAGCCAUCAACAUAUUUGCAAUUUUAUAAAAUAAACAAGCUUCACGUUGCCAGCAGAUCGGGUAAUAGUGCAACUGUGACAACAAUCUAAUGACAAACUUGGACUUGAUUUUGUCAAUUCACCUUAAACAUUCACGAGGUCUUUUUCUCGCCAUUACAGCCGGAGGACGAUCUUUCAGCGGAGUAUGAAGUGAAAAUAGAGUCCUCAUUGAAAGAACAUAGUACCACUGGCGGUUUUGUGUAUGGAAUGUCACUACGAAACUGCUUCAUUUCGCCAGAACUGUCAUCCACAGUCCCAAGGCCCUUUGGACUGUAUUUUGAAUUAUUCUGCGGUCGGAGCUUGACAGACCAGUGCUGCAAUUCCCCGACAGAUUGACCGAUGACACGAGAGUGCUCCUUCUCUUUAAUCCAUGCAUACGCACCCCCGAGCUUGUUUCUGAAAGAAUCCUCCAAUUCUGUGCGCCAAUGUGGCCGCUGUUCACUGGCCUUGUAGGUCCACUUGUAACGUGAGCCAUUCGCUAUGGCCUUGUCUUGCAUCCAUUCGUAGGACAACUGCCGCAGGUCGUCCCCUACUAUCCCGCCUCCGCAGUUGCUAUGGCUAUCGACGAACCAGCAUUGCUCCAACUUUUUGUUCUCUGGCGUCAUUUUACCCCUGAGUGUCGGAUCGAAGUCUUCACGAUAUUCGUCGAUUGCCAAAGCUUGGUAGGCUUCGUCGACGAUGCAAGAUAGAUCCUGAUCGUGGAAUAUGUAGUUUUUCCUGGACAGCGGAGUGUUGCUUAUAAGAUUUAACACUGGUGCAUACCAGGUAUUGCUUUUAAAUGCUGAAUCGGGGACUCCGAGCACUCCCACCGUAUCCCACAUGCCCACCAACUUUACGCGCACGGGAUAACAAUUUUUAGCAAAUGCUUUCAUCACUGGAUGACAGGGCUUCAUAUCAUUGCGGUACAAUUUGAAAGCUUCUUCCACGGAGGCCUUGGUUACGUAGCCAUCUGCCGGUUUCUUCAACACCCCGCCGACUUCAUGCAACAUCGAGACUAAACUGCGAGCUGAAUAGGUCCCACGACUAAACCCGAACACGAAGAUUUCGACUCCCUCCUUGUAAUUCUCUGAACAUCAGUGGUAAGCCUGUUUGAUGAUUUCCGACAAUCCGUAACCAAAUGAUCCGCCUAAAAUCUUUCCGACACAAGCCAUUCCAACACCUGAGUAAUAUUUUACCAGCUGCUCGACUCCAUUUUCAUCUGGGCCCGAAUCGAUCGCCUCGUGCAUACGUGCGACACUAGUUCAGUCGCUCAACUCGUUCCAUGUGCCAUCGAAUAUCACAACAAGACGACAAUGCCAUCUUGUUGCCAUCCUGUCAAUGUUGCAAACAAGUUCAAGAGGCUUUUUGAACUUGGCAGUCAAACGCUCUUUGUUAGUCUUUUGCAGAACCGAUGCUAAAAUCACUGAUGGCAUUAUUACGGUAUUCUUUCUAGUACAUUGUAAACGAAAUACUGUUUCCAUGCGAUUAAAAUAAACAAAAUUCUCAAAUAAGCUCUUAUCAGAAAAACGUCAUGCGCAAGAGUUUUUCCUUCAAACUCGUACUUAUCUAUUGAUUAACUUGUCAUAAAUUCCUGCACUGGAAAGCGUGAAUGAAUCUCACAUUUAUAUUUUUCUGUAACUGGCACCCUCAAGGUUCAUAUCAGGAAGCAUACGAACAUAUCUGCUACAUUUCGAACCUGGAUGCUUCAAUUGUUGGUCUUCAUCACUCUGUCGUCUUUAUGGUAAAUUACCGGCUAUACUCUAGAAAUGUCAGCGAUCUUUUCAUGCUUUCUGUCGUUCCUCUGACAGUUCAGUGAUGGCAGCAGUCUCUUAAGGGUACGGGGCUGAGGAGCAAAUCUGCACGUGGGUUGUAGCGUUCUCCACUUUGUUCUCAGAACCUGUAAUCUGCCAGAGAGGAAUUGGGCGUGAGAAGUAUGCCGAUAUCCAAGAAAAGAAAACUCUAAGAAUAUUGGCGAGUCACAUGCUCGCAGAAGCUUUGCAACUCUGGACUACUGCACAUAAAAUGAGGAAGAACACAAGCGCUGCAUACACAAUCAUGUCACGCAUAGUCUAUUUGCUUCAGGUCGAUGGCAGCGAUGAACCAGAUUUUUAGAGCGGAUCAAUUACAAUAUGUGAGGCUAAGAUUGUAAAUUAUUCUGAAGCGGAUGCAAUCGUUCCUCGAGCUAUUUUCUCCUAUCCUUCGACAAAGCACAUUGUAAAUGUUGUAUGAUCUAGGAUUUUGCUGAAUUGACUAGAUGCGAGCCCCACGCUUUUCAGUCUCAAGGGCCAUCUCCAAAAUAUCAGUCCUCCAAAUUUGGUCAAUCACUAUGUACAUAUGUCCCACUGUAGAGUUCACAGAUGCAGAUGAUCCAAUUGCAGCGAACUUGGUGCUCAUCGAGCCGCAUUCUAAGUGCUUCAUGUAACAUGCAUCUUGUACCAUUCAUUAAAGUUCUGUUUUUGCAUUCAGCAACACCGUUUUGUCUUGGAGUAUAAGUUGUUAACUGACGUUGUAUCCCAUGGGUUGAUAGGUAAUUGUCAAAUUUGGAGGAGAGAUACUCUCCUUGAUCGGAUAGGAGGGUGCGCAUUUUGUAUCCAGUUUGUGUCUCAGGCCCACAUGUGAAAGAUUUUGAAAAAUUCAAUGCACUCGCUUUUUCGUUGAAGGAGACGAAGUACUGUAUAUCGAGAGUAAUCAUCAAUAAAUGUGACAUAAUAUUUGAAUCCUGAAAAUGUUGGAGUGGCCACUUGGCUACUUAGAUCUAAAUGUACAAGUUCGAGAGGUUGAAAGGCGCGAAAAGUGGCAAUUUUUGGAAAUUUUGUAAUGGUUUGUUUUCCGUGAAGGCAAGUUGAGCACAUUUGAGCUGGAACGUGCUUUAGUGAUAGUCCACUAACGGCUUUGUGUUGAGCUAAUUGUUUUAGUCGUUGUGUGCUGAUGUGACCAAGAUGGCAAUGCCACAGAGAAGCUUGUUUUCCAUUUUUUUGUUGAGAAGAGAACUCACUGUGAAAAGCUGCCAUAUGUGCACAGAUCAGGAGACUGGGGAGUCGUUGUCUCGGUUGUCUUCCAUAGUGUAUAGCAGCGGAAGGGACUGCUGGGGUGUUAGCCGAUAUUUUGGAUAUGGCGAUUGUCGAUUUCUCAUAUCCAGAGGAAGAACCGAUUCAGAGAGCUUUGGAAAGAGGCGGGUCUUAAGUCUGUUGUGAUCAAGUCGCACAGAGCACUGAGGGCAUCGAAAAGCUGACAGACCAAAUUCUUUUGUCCGUGUCGCUGGCUGAGUGGCUGACUGUGUGAGUAGAAAGGUGAGAGCGGGUAAACUUUGAAUAUGGUGCGGGAGUGAGCCAGGGUGCGAUAUUGGUGACAGGCAAACAAGUGCCCCUAGAGCUGGAAGAAAUCUUGGUGAUGGAGUGAACGGCAACGGGAGAUUUGUUGCAAUGAAGAUACAAGGUUAUUGGUUUUGUCUUGAUUGUAGAGAAUUUUGGGCCUCUUAUGUUAUGUUUUAUUUAAGGACGUGAUUGCUAGUUGCCUUAUGUUUUGCGGCCUGCAAAGAGAGCUUGAGAUUUUGAGGUUCAGCCUGUCAUAGCUAUUUCUUCUUGUAAAAGAAUUGCAAUUAAUAUUGGAAGUGCAAUCAAUUUGUAUGACAAUUCCAUAUUGUAAUGGCAUAGAUCUCAUUAAAGUGAGUAUUUCCAUUUGUAAUGGAAUUAUCACUCUGGCUGAAUGAUAUUGAAGUUAUAAAAAUGUUGUAUGGCGGAUUUGUCUACUUUCAUUUUUUAUGUUAUAAAUUUUUCUUAUAGAUGUGCUCAAGUGACUAUGUCACUGGUUAAAUAUGUGUUUUCAAGAGCUAAUCAUGCUUUGUAGUUUUGUAUGCUCUAACAUGUGAGAAAAUGGCAUUGUCUACACAAUCCUAAAUGGCGACAAGAACAACUUGAUUUUUUUUUUUCUACAUAAAUAUUAUAAUAAUAUUUGUUGUGGAUUUCUUAUUUUCACAUGAUUGAGAAUCAUCCAUAUUUCUUUGUACAUACCUAAUAAUAAGAUGACUUGUACAAAAAUUACCAAUGAUAGAAUGUAAGCCACAAGAUCAACAAGUAAAUAAUGUGUCUAACUUAUGAGAGCUGCAGUGUACUAGUCAAUCUAGAAGAUUUGAUAAUUUUAUUCCAAUACUAAAAAUUUAAAAAAAUUAAAAAUUUUGAAUAAUUUAUUCUACUACAAAAAAAAAUUAAAAUCAAACUUAGAUAUUUAAUUAUCAAAUAUUUUUUAAUAAUUAAUUAUAAAUAUUAUAUAUACUUAAUUGAAAGCAUAAUAUUAGAUUUUUUGUUGAAAUAUUUUUUUAAUAUUUUUUUUUUAAAAUUUGAUGAAUAAGAGAGUAAUUUUUUUUUGAAUAAUAUCAAAAAUUAGAUAAAUUACUUGUGAUAGUUAAAGAAAUAAAGAAUCAAAAUAAAUUACCAUCAUUGAUUUUUUAAAAUCUAUUUUUUUUAGUUUAAAUAUUUUUUAUAUUUUUUUAUAUUUCAAGAAAAUACAUUUGUAUAGUUUAUCAAGGAUGCAAGGAAAAAAAACCAAAAAAAAUAAGCAUUACAAAGAAACUAGAUUAGUAUAUCUCACAUGAAGGAUCAAAAGAUUCUAAAAGAUAUUAAAGAUAAAUGAUAAAAAAUUAAAAAGAUCUAGAAGGUGCCUAAAAUCAGAUUCAAUAUAUAUAUAUAUAUAUAUAUAUACAUAUUGAUACAUUCAUUAUAUUAAUUUUGUAUACUUUAAGUAGUAUCAAAAAGUAAAUUUUAAAUCUUUAAAUAUUAUUAUUAUAGAUAUUACAUAUUUUGAUGUCUUUGUUUAUUUAUUUUGUUGUAAAUUAAAAAUAUGAUCUACAUAUUGUUAAGAUUAAUCCAAGCAAAGGUCAAGUCCAAACUUAUUUUUUAAGAUUUUUUUAUUUUGAUUUAUUUUUUUGAAUGAAUUCUAAUUUAUAAUUGACACUCAUAGUUGAAUGAACAAGAUAUAUUCAUCCAUAUAUAUAUUUAUCCAUUCUAAUAUUUAUAUAUCUAUACCUAUAGUUAUCUAAGCACCAUCUAAAAAAUUUAAUCUUUACUCAAGAGAUGUAGGCAUUUAAUUGGCUCGCCAUGGAGACGCUUUGAUCUAGUUGUGUCACUACUCUUUGCUUGAGUGACACCAAGAGGUACGCUUUGAUUUAGUUGUGUCACUACUCAUGCACUCCUUCAUGGCUUAGAGUCCAUGCUUGAUUAGAAAGAAUAUUUAGCUUACAUAGAAUCCAUAUAAAUCCAUGACCACCAAGCCAAGGAUAAUAUUGGACACUUUUUUCUAUUAUAAGAUUUUGGUCUUUAUAAGCAAGGGCCUAUUUUGUACCAAAGAAUUCAACUUAAACUCAACUCACAUUGACUAUGCUCAAUAUUUGGGUCACUAUAAGUAACAUCAUCUAAUGACAUCCUAGAAAUGGCAAUGUGCAUGGAGAUAUUAUAAUACAAGCAAUAAAUAAGAGUAGGUCUCAAAACUUGAUCUUCACCAACAUACACUACUAUUUUAAGAUAAAAAUAAUUUAUCUAUAUAUUGAUUUCAAUACUCUAAAGGUGGCUUAUUACAAUUCGACCUAUCAAUACCUUAUUAGAAAUAUUAUUAUAUUUUAAUAUGAUUAAUUUUACACAAUAUAUUAUAUGUAUAAGAGUGACACCAAGAGGUACAACUCUUAGUAUAAGGUCAAUAAGAGUAUAUAGUAUUCUAUACAUAAGACUAAUAUAUUAUAUAAAAUAAUUCUCUCAACACUCCCACUAGGAUACUAAUUUUCAUCCUCAAAUUAAAUUUUAUCUAUUUUGAAACAAAUAUAUAAAACAAAUUUAUGGUUUCAAUCUUUUUGUUGAUAUUGAAAUGUUGGAGAGCUUUCUAAUAGUUCUCCCACUACUUUUUCAAUUCUAAGAAGGUAUAUGAUUUUUUUUUUUUGUUGAUUUUUAUUUAUUUGUUGCUUCCUGUUUGAUAUUUGUAUGUUUUUUGUUUUGUGGUUUUAAUUAGACCAGAAAGGCUUGAAUAAUUAUAGAACGGUUUGCAAUUUUUUAUUUAGAAGAAAUUAAUACAUGCUUAUUUGAGAUAGGCAUUGAAAAUGUUUCUCUUUGCAAAAAUAUUUUAUAAAUAAAUCUAUUGUCAUAUGCAUGGUUGGUAUAUAUUAUAAUUUGAUUUCUUUAGUAAAGAUCUUUUUUUAGUAAAAUGAUAUUGUAUGUUCACAUGUUUGCUUCUAGAAUGAUAUUUGGGAUUUUUACUAAAAGCAAUGUACUUUGACUAUUUGAAUAUAUAGUCGUUGCUUUAUGUUGAAGAAAUCCAAGUUCAUAUACUAACUUUCUUAAUCAUAUAUCUUUAGUUUUUUUUAUUCUUUAUUAAAGCCAUAUAUUUUGAUUCUAUGGAUGAUAAAGUAAUAUAUUAUUAUUUCUUACUACCUCAAGAGAUAAUUCCUCUAGCUAAUAAGAAGAAAAAUCUAAAAGUGGAAGGACAUGUGUCUUUGUUACUUAUCUAGUGAGUAUCAAAAUAACCAUAUAAAAUAUCACCUUGAGGUAAGUGUUGAUAUUUUAUUCCAAAAUUUAAUGUGCCUUUUAUAUAUCUCAUAAUUCUUUUUAAAGUUUGAAUGUGUGUAAAUCCUAAUUUAGAAAGAUAUUGUAGUAAAUUGCCUAGAAUAUAAGCACAAUCUGGUCUGGAAUUAACAAUAGCAUACAUCAAAUUACCAAAAACUUGAGAAUAUGGAUAAUCUAAUGAAGUAAUAUAGUCUUCAUUAGUUGAACAAAUUCCUAGUUGAUUUGGGAUAUAUAAUAGGUUAGAUUCAACAUAUUGAAUUCAUUAGGUUUAUUUGUUAAAUAUUUUGCUUCAUGAAGGAUUAUCCAUCUUUCUUCUCUAUUUUUUAGGAUAGCAUUGCCUAAAAUGUAAUGGAUUUCUUCUUCAUCUAACAUGUUAUAUUCUUGUUUUAGAAUGCUUUUUACUUGUUGAAUUCAGAAAAUCUUGUUGGUGAUAAUGAUACAAUCAUCAAUUUAGGCUAUAAUUAUGAUAAAAUCCUUUUCAUUUUUUCUUUUGAUGUAUAUGUUUGCAUCUGAUUUUAGAUGUUGAUAUUUGUGAAGAAGUAAAUAUUGAUCUUAUCUUUGAUACCAUACUAUAAAAGAUUGUUUAAGACUAUAUAGGAAUUUAUUUAACUUAUAUAUAUUAUUAAUAUGUAUAAGAGGUAAUCCUUCAAAAAUACUCAGAUAGAUGUCUUCUUCAAUAAAACCAUUUUAAAAAGGAAUUUUAAGAUCUAAUUGAUGUAUUUCUAAAUUAUUUUAAGUCUCUUAGGCAAGAAGAACUUUGAUAGAGUUAAAUUUGACUACAAGAGAGUAUGUCACUAUGUAAUUUAUACCUUAAAUUUGGAUGAAAUCUCUUGCAACUAUCUUUGCUUUAUAUUUGUCAAUACUUCCAUGAGCUUUAGUUUUUAUUUUUAAAAUCCACAUUGAAUUGAUUGGUUUUUUUUAUUAGGAGGUAAAUUCGUCAUUGUCCAUGUAUUAUUCUUAUUUAAGGGUGUAAUUUUAAUAUUAAUUAUUUUUUGCCAUUCUUGAGCAUCAGCCCUCUCUAUUGCUUCUUGAAUGGAGUUUGGAACUUCUAUGGUGGUAGAAACAAGGUAGGCUUGGUAACGUUGAUUACAAUGGCGUUUAUAUUUUUUUCUUCUUUGUGUAGACUCUAACAAUCUUGUAGUUGGUUUAAUAAUUUUUGUUGGUCAAGAUCUAGAAGGAAGUCUUGGAUCUUGUAAUAUGGAAUGGACUACAUCAUAUUCAAGGAAUAAGAUCUCUUGAUCAUUUUGUAAUGAUUUUUGAGAAAAGACUUCAAUAAUAUCAAUAUAAGAAGGAAGUUGGUUUUCCAAAUUUUGAAAAGCACCAUAUAUUUAUUGAUUAAAUACAUAUGGCUCUUGUGGUAGUGGCUUUGGUGGUGUAGUCAUUCCUUGAAUAUGAAGUGUGGUGUGCUCAUUGGACCUUAUAGUUGUUGAAGGUUGCUUAAAUAAUUCUAAAUCUAUUAAAAGUUUUUUAUUAUUUUUUUGUAAAUAUAUUAAUUUUUGAUCAUAUAGAUUCUCAUUGAAGAGAACAUUUUUUAAAAUGAGAAUUUACUGAUUUUGUAUAUUCAUAAGUCUAUAGGCUUUAGAUUUUUUAUUAUAUCCUAAAAAGAUAGCCUGUUGUGAAUGAGAAUCUAAUUUCUUUCUUAUUUCUUUAGAAAUGAAUAUAUGAGCUUUGCAACAAAAUAUUUUAAGAUAGGAUAAAUUUGAUUGUCUUUUGUAUCACAAUUCAAAUGGUAUUUUGGUACUUUGUACAAAUUUUUUAAGGCUCUUAUUUUAGAGGUAAUUAGCUAUUUGGAGUACUUCACCUAAAAAAAAAUUAGGUAAGUUUGAAUAGGAUAGCAUUGCAAGAACUAUCUAUAUUAUUGUUCUAUUUUUUCUUUUAAAAAUAUCAUUUUGUUGUAGUAUAUAAGAAAUAGUAUAUUCUUAUUUUAUUAUUUUUUUGUUAUUUAAAUCUUUAAAUUUAUUUGAUUUAUAUUCACUUCCACAAUCAAAUCUUAAAAUUUUGAUUUUGAAACUUGUUUGUUUUUUCACAAAUUUUUUGUAUAAGAUGAAUUUUUCAAAUCCUUCAAAUUUUAGUUUCAUCAAAUAUAUAUGGCAAUAUCUUAUUAGAUCAUCAAUAAAUGUGAUGAAAUAAAUACAUUUUUAAUAUGUGCCUAUUUAUAUCAGACCACAAAUAUCAAAAUAUAGAAGUUCUAACAAUUAAGUAGCUCUUUGUACACCUUUUGUAGGAAACUUCUUCUUAUAUUAUUUAUCUUCUAUAGAAGGUUGAUAUAAGAUAAUUUUUUUUUCAUCAAAGAGGUCAAUUUCCUUUGCCAUUGUUUGUAUUUUUUUAAAUCUUUGCAAAUUUAUGUGUCUUAGUCUUAAAUGCCACAAAUCAACUUUAUUUAAUUAUGUUGUUACUGGAAUAGAAAUUUGAAACUUAUUUAAAAGUAUUGUUGCAUAUAAUUCAUAUAAAUCAAGGUUUAAUUUGUAUAUUGCAAUAGUUUGAUCAAAUUUAUUUAUAAGUAUAGUUGCUCCAACUCUUAUGUAAAUUUCUCUUCCUACCUUAUCCAAUUAUUUGGCAAAAAAUAAAUCCUUUGCAAGUCCUAGUAUAUGUAAUAUAUCAGGUAUGAUUUUUUCAUUGCCAUUUGUAAGUUUGAUAUUUACAUCACUACAUCCUUCUAUUAUUUAUGAUAUAGUAUUGUCUCCUAAAUAGACAACUUAAUUGACUUCACUUUUGAUGUAUUUGACAAAUCAUUCUAGCUCAUGACACAUAUGUUGAGUUGCUCUUGAGUCUAUAUACCACAUUGAAUUUGAAUUUUCUUUAAUUAUAAGUGCUGCUAUAUAUAAUUUAUUUGAUUUUGUAAUAAUAUUUUUUUCUUUUUUGUUAUUAUAAUUUUUAGUUACUAUUCUUGUUUUGCAAUCUUUGAUGAAGUUACCAGGUUUUUUUGUAGAAAAAACACUUCUUGUCAAUAGCAAAAUUACUUUUUUUAUGUGCUUAGAAGUAAUACUCUUUCUUUGUAGAUUAUUUUUAAAAUUCUUAUUAAAAUAAGAUUUCUUAUUAUUAUUCUAAAAUUUCUUACCUACAUAUAGGAUUGAAUUAUUAUCAAAUAUUAAACUCAUGUUUUUCAUGAGUAUUUCUUCCAAGAACAAAUUUUUUCUCAAAGAUACUAAUGUAAUCCCAAACUGUCUUCUUAAAGAGCUAAUGAAGGAUCUAUAAUUUAGAGGCAAACUUCUCAUUAAGGUUAGAAUUGCUUCAUCAUCUAGAACUAUUGAUUAUGUUACUAACAAUUGUUCCAUAUGUACUCUAAAGGUAUAUAUGGGUUUAACACUAUCACCUUCUCUUAUUUUUAAGGUGUAUAAUUUGUCUUUUAAACACAUCUUAGUUAUUGCACAUGUGAAACAAUGUUAUUUUCUAGACAAUUGUUGAUUAUGGUAAAAGAUAAGGUAUCUUUGUUUACUCGUGUGCUUAUACUCCCUACUCCUAUGGCAAGUAAAGCUGAGAUUCUGGCAACAAUUUCAGUUAUUAUUGGUUCUAUUAAUAAGCAUUUUUUACCACUUACUAUAGAUCAUAACUUUUUAGCUUUAAAAACUAGUAUUAAUCUAUAUUUCCAUGUAUUAAAUUAUGAACCAUUGAAUUUCAGAACAUGAUUGAUUCCACUUUUUGUAUCAUCUUCAAUAUUCUUAAUUUGAAGUUGAAUUAAAAUUAUUUAUAAAUUUAUUCUUGAUCAAUUCAAUUUUACCUUUAUUUAUGGUUAUUUUUUGCUAUUUGUAGAUUUAAAAUUGCUUCUCAUGGUUUGAAGAACUUCAAACUCUUCUUCAAUCUUUUCCAUUAGAAUAGAUUGUUUUAUUGUUAUUAUUAUAACCUUAUUUGUAAUUUCAGCAAUUCUUUUCUAGAUUGAAACAUUCAUCUAUUCUUAUAGUUUUAUAAGGAUCAAAUAUAUCUAUAGCUUUGAUACCAUGUUGGAAACAUUAUUAUAUUUUAAUAUAAUCAAUCUUACACAAUAUAUUGUGUAUACAAGAGUGACACCAAGAGUCACAACUCUUGGUGUAAGAUCAACAAGAAUAGAUAGUAUUCUAUACAUGAGACUAGUGUACUAUAUGGAAUAAUUCUCCCAAUACAUCUCACCACCAAAUAUACUACCAAAUAUACUGCGUUUCAGGGCAAGUAUAUUAACAAAAACCUGAAACAAAACCAAUACGCAAUUGAAGGAAUUCAUCAAUGAUGUUCACCCCUUUGACUGCCGCGGAUCUAAGUUCAUGUUCUCCAAUUGGCACAGCAAGUCAUCCUACAGCAUCGUGUUGAGGAAACGUUGUUAAGGUGGUCCAUAUUGAAAUUGUCCCACGCGUUUGUCAAUGAUCGUGUACAUUUCUUGCAACUGACGAGCAUUUUAUAAUGGUAAGAUAGCGACGACAGUGCUAACAGAAGAAUUUGAAUAGUCUGGUAAAAGGAGAAGUGAGCACAAGUAAUCACAUACUGAUGUCAGUUGUCUCUGGCAAGCUCGGCAUUGCUAAACCUAUGGAGCUUCGCUAAGAGGAUUUAGUAGUUCUAUUUUUUGCAAGUACAUUCUUCUAGUGACUUUUCAGGGCAAGUUGCGGUAUAAAUGUUCUAGACUUAGUAAAGUUUAUUUUUUUCUUUUGAAAGUUGAAAGUCUGUGAGGUUACUUCUCUCUUUGCAGCGAGUAUUUUCAUUAUAUUUUCUUUCAUUGUGUUUAGCGGAUCAUUGGAAUACGUUGUAACUUGUAAAACUUGGAAGAAUUAUUGCAAACUUAAUUUCUCAUCAUCUGCAAAGUUGCAUGGCACAUCUUUGAAGUUUGUGUGUUCUGGCUUGUAAGGUGGGCAUUGCCCAUCAAGCGUGCUAGGGUUGAGUUAUAAGAUUGCGACGUGUUGAAUUGAAGACAUGAGAGACUGGUACAGAAUACUCUCCAGAAACCAACAGAUACGAACCUCACAUUGCUUGCCUUCUUUGGUUGUCGGUACAAUAGGAGUACAUUACAAUAGUCCAAAGUACAUCACCUUUAGGUACUUCCGGAGGUCAUCACACCUUUCUCAACCUUUGUGUGCCGGGGUGGAUUCUUUCAAAUCACAAGGUAUUGAAAGCCUUGUCAACUUUUAACCAGAUUGUAACAAUCUCCCUCUAGCUUAGAACAAGGACUUCAAGCCAUCAAAUUUGACGUUCAUAGGGACGAAGGCAGUUAUCCGAGAAAACGUCUUUGUAUGAAGUUUUAACUGAUAUAGUGCUCAGCAAUGUGAGUAUUAAUGAGACAUUCAAUCGCCGCCUAUAAAAAUUGUACAUGUAACAGUGAUCUUUGUUUCUGUUUCGGAGUCAUAAUUUUUAUUCAGCACGCUUGUAUAAUUGGAUUCAAUCUUGUGAACGAUUAUUCUUCGCGAUGUGCACUGUGAUCCAUCAUCCUUAGCCUCUUCCGUGGUCACAUCAACGACUGUUGCAGCAACGAACACCCUAAUAAUGAUGGUUUCACAAACUUUGAAGAACUGGGUCACUGAAUCAUAUCAAUUCGAGAUGGAAAAUUCAAGCCAGCCCUGACGAUUAUUGCCCAAGGUUUUAAGCACGAGCACAUCUAGAAGCAACGCAGUUUUCCUUAACGUCCACUGUUUAUAGCGUACUUUAUUGCUCCUCAUGAAUCAAUAAUUGCAACCUAAAUGACACAUUACACUUAAGAAGAAGCAGCUGGGUACUAACUGGCACAAAAUCUAGCGUCCAGUACUCUUCUGGACUUAUUUCUUUUUCAUAUGAAGAUGUCAAUCAUCACUGAAAAACUUCCUAGAAACAAACUGAUAUCUCAAGUCACGGAAAAAAUAAACAACUUGCUCGCUCGAGUCGAUCAUCAAGUUCUUGUGUACAAAUCCUCUGUCCAUCCGGCUAACCUCAUUGUUCAUUAAACAAUUUUGCUGCAAGAAAGACAGACAAAUUAUGUCAAUUAAAUUCAUUGUCACACUGAGCAAUGCGGUUUGCCUUCCCUGCUGAAGCUUUAAAAC
Molecule: long non-coding RNA, 41349 nt
Filed under: Physcomitrium patens
Lineage: Eukaryota; Viridiplantae; Streptophyta; Bryopsida; Funariales; Funariaceae
Description: long non-coding RNA (PPAT_LNC009520)
Source: RNAcentral